Molecule: ribosomal RNA, 374 nt
Filed under: uncultured organism
Description: partial 16S ribosomal RNA
Rfam family: Bacterial small subunit ribosomal RNA
Source: RNAcentral
GGAGGGUGCAAGCGUUGUUCGGAAUUAUUGGGCGUAAAGAGCGUGUAGGCGGUCCGGUAAGUCAGAUGUGAAAGCCCUGGGCUCAACCCAGGAAGUGCAUUUGAAACUACCAGACUUGAGUACGGGAGAGGAGGGGGGAAUUCCCGGUGUAGAGGUGAAAUUCGUAGAUAUCGGGAGGAAUACCAGUGGCGAAGGCGCCCUCUGGACCGAUACUGACGCUGAGACGCGAAAGCGUGGGGAGCAAACAGGAUUAGAUACCCUGGUAGUCCACGCCGUAAACGAUGAGCACUAGGUGUAGCGGGUAUUGACCCCCCUGCUGUGCCCGUAGCUAACGCAUUAAGUGCUCCGCCUGGGGACUACGGUCGCAAGACUAA